AAAUUGAAGAGUUUGAUCAUGGCUCAGAUUGAACGCUGGCGGCAGGCCUAACACAUGCAAGUCGAACGGUAACAGGAAGCAGCUUGCUGCUUUGCUGACGAGUGGCGGACGGGUGAGUAAUGUCUGGGAAACUGCCUGAUGGAGGGGGAUAACUACUGGAAACGGUGGCUAAUACCGCAUAACGUCGCAAGACCAAAGAGGGGGGACCUUCGGGCCUCUUGCCAUCAGAUGUGCCCAGAUGGGAUUAGCUUGUUGGUGAGGUAACGGCUCACCAAGGCGACGAUCCCUAGCUGGUCUGAGAGGAUGACCAGCCACACUGGAACUGAGACACGGUCCAGACUCCUACGGGAGGCAGCAGUGGGGAAUAUUGCACAAUGGGCGCAAGCCUGAUGCAGCCAUGCCGCGUGUAUGAAGAAGGCCUUCGGGUUGUAAAGUACUUUCAGCGGGGAGGAAGGUGUUGUGGUUAAUAACCGCAGCAAUUGACGUUACCCGCAGAAGAAGCACCGGCUAACUCCGUGCCAGCAGCCGCGGUAAUACGGAGGGUGCAAGCGUUAAUCGGAAUUACUGGGCGUAAAGCGCACGCAGGCGGUCUGUCAAGUCGGAUGUGAAAUCCCCGGGCUCAACCUGGGAACUGCAUUCGAAACUGGCAGGCUUGAGUCUUGUAGAGGGGGGUAGAAUUCCAGGUGUAGCGGUGAAAUGCGUAGAGAUCUGGAGGAAUACCGGUGGCGAAGGCGGCCCCCUGGACAAAGACUGACGCUCAGGUGCGAAAGCGUGGGGAGCAAACAGGAUUAGAUACCCUGGUAGUCCACGCCGUAAACGAUGUCUACUUGGAGGUUGUGCCCUUGAGGCGUGGCUUCCGGAGCUAACGCGUUAAGUAGACCGCCUGGGGAGUACGGCCGCAAGGUUAAAACUCAAAUGAAUUGACGGGGGCCCGCACAAGCGGUGGAGCAUGUGGUUUAAUUCGAUGCAACGCGAAGAACCUUACCUGGUCUUGACAUCCACGGAAGUUUUCAGAGAUGAGAAUGUGCCUUCGGGAACCGUGAGACAGGUGCUGCAUGGCUGUCGUCAGCUCGUGUUGUGAAAUGUUGGGUUAAGUCCCGCAACGAGCGCAACCCUUAUCCUUUGUUGCCAGCGGUCCGGCCGGGAACUCAAAGGAGACUGCCAGUGAUAAACUGGAGGAAGGUGGGGAUGACGUCAAGUCAUCAUGGCCCUUACGACCAGGGCUACACACGUGCUACAAUGGCGCAUACAAAGAGAAGCGACCUCGCGAGAGCAAGCGGACCUCAUAAAGUGCGUCGUAGUCCGGAUUGGAGUCUGCAACUCGACUCCAUGAAGUCGGAAUCGCUAGUAAUCGUGGAUCAGAAUGCCACGGUGAAUACGUUCCCGGGCCUUGUACACACCGCCCGUCACACCAUGGGAGUGGGUUGCAAAAGAAGUAGGUAGCUUAACCUUCGGGAGGGCGCUUACCACUUUGUGAUUCAUGACUGGGGUGAAGUCGUAACAAGGUAACCGUAGGGGAACCUGCGGUUGGAUCACCUCCUUACCUUAAAGAAGC
RNAcentral lists this ribosomal RNA (1555 nucleotides) under Salmonella enterica subsp. enterica serovar Senftenberg. Its description in RNAcentral is "bacterial SSU rRNA". It matches the Rfam family "Bacterial small subunit ribosomal RNA". Lineage: Bacteria; Pseudomonadati; Pseudomonadota; Gammaproteobacteria; Enterobacterales; Enterobacteriaceae. The record is from RNAcentral.